GCUGACGUAGCUCAGUUGGUAGAGCAACUCCAUGGUAAGGAGUAGGUCGCCAGUUCAAGUCUGGCCGUCAGCU
Molecule: transfer RNA, 73 nt
Filed under: Patescibacteria group bacterium
Lineage: Bacteria
Description: tRNA-Thr
Rfam family: tRNA
About the family: Transfer RNA (tRNA) molecules are approximately 80 nucleotides in length. Their secondary structure includes four short double-helical elements and three loops (D, anti-codon, and T loops).
Source: RNAcentral